GACGAACGCUGGCGGCGCGCUUAACACAUGCAAGUCGAGCGAGAACCAGGACUUCGGUCCUGGGGACAGCGGCGAACGGGUGAGUAACACGUGGAUAACCUGCCCUCGGCACCGGGAUAGCCCGAGGAAACUCGGAUUAAUACCGGAUAGCCCUUCCGACUCUCGAGUCGGUCCGAAAAGGUAGCUUCGGCCUCUGGCCGAGGAUGGGUCCGCGGCGGAUUAGCUUGUUGGUGGGGUAACGCCUACCAAGGCAUCGAUCCGUAGCUGGUCUGAGAGGACGAUCAGCCACACUGGGACUGAGACACGGCCCAGACUCCUACGGGAGGCAGCAGUGGGGAAUCUUGCGCAAUGGGCGAAAGCCUGACGCAGCGACGCCGCGUGAGGGAAGAAGGCC
This 394-nucleotide ribosomal RNA is filed under the name uncultured bacterium. Its description in RNAcentral is "bacterial SSU rRNA". It matches the Rfam family "Bacterial small subunit ribosomal RNA", at positions 28 to 416 of the family's 1533-position model. The record is from RNAcentral.